UUGCACUGAUGACUUCUUAGGACACCUUUGGAUUCACCAUGAAAACAAACUGUUGAAACUCUGAGCAGC
This 69-nucleotide small nucleolar RNA is filed under the name Lates calcarifer (barramundi perch). RNAcentral describes it as "Small nucleolar RNA SNORD58 (ENSLCAG00010018017.1)". It matches the Rfam family "Small nucleolar RNA SNORD58". From Rfam's summary of the family: snoRNA U58 is found in introns 1, 3 and 6 of the ribosomal protein RPL17 gene in humans. U58 is a member of the C/D class of snoRNA which contain C (UGAUGA) and D (CUGA) box motifs. The record is from Rfam by way of RNAcentral. Lineage: Eukaryota; Metazoa; Chordata; Actinopteri; Centropomidae.